Molecule: ribosomal RNA, 774 nt
Filed under: uncultured Neocallimastigales
Lineage: Eukaryota; Fungi; Neocallimastigomycota; Neocallimastigomycetes; Neocallimastigales
Description: partial large subunit ribosomal RNA
Rfam family: Eukaryotic large subunit ribosomal RNA
Source: RNAcentral
GUAGUCUCGCACAGAUGCAUAUCAAUAAGCGGAGGAAAAGAAACUAACAAGGAUUCCCUCAGUAACGGCGAGUGAAGCGGGAAGAGCUCAAAUUUGAAAUCUUGAAAGGUCACCUUUCACGAAUUGUAGUUUAAAGAAGUGUUUUCUGUUACGAUCGUAAUAUAAGUUCUUUGGAAUAGGACAUCACAGAGGGUGAGAAUCCCGUCUAUGAUUGCGAUUUGUAGCUUUGUGAUACACUUUCAAAGAGUCGGGUUGUUUGGGAAUGCAGCCCAAAAUGGGUGGUAAAUUUCAUCUAAAGCUAAAUAUUGGCGAGAGACCGAUAGCGAACAAGUACCGUGAGGGAAAGAUGAAAAGAACUUUGAAAAGAGAGUUAAACAGUACGUGAAAUUGUCAAAAGGGAAGCGUUUGACACCAGUGUUGUUUUCUCUAAAAUCAAUUAAAAAGAGUUAGAUUUUGUUGUGUAUUGACCUUAACAGCUUGCAUUUCAAUUUUCUUGCUUUUUUUAAUGCACUUUUCGUUUAACAAGUCAACAUCAGUUUCUUUUGUUGUAAAAAGGUCAUUGGAAGGUGGCUUUCUUUUCGGAGAAAGUGUUUAUAGCCUUUGACUCCUGCAAUCGGAGAGACUGAGGUCUGCAGCGUAGAUCCUUCGGGGUUAGAUACAUUUGUGCUAAGUUAUAGCUUUUUAUAGACAACUUGUUGACUAUGAUUAGUCUUGUAGCUUACUCGCUUAUGCUAUUUUACCUACGCUUAGGAUGUUGAAGAUGUAGCACAUCAU